RNAcentral lists this transfer RNA (69 nucleotides) under Rattus norvegicus (Norway rat). It matches the Rfam family "tRNA". From Rfam's summary of the family: Transfer RNA (tRNA) molecules are approximately 80 nucleotides in length. Their secondary structure includes four short double-helical elements and three loops (D, anti-codon, and T loops). Lineage: Eukaryota; Metazoa; Chordata; Mammalia; Rodentia; Muridae. The record is from Rfam by way of RNAcentral.
GGGGAUUUAGCUCAGUGGUAGAGCGCUUACCUAGGAAGCACAAGGCCCUGGGUUCAGUUCCCAGCUCCA